RNAcentral lists this ribosomal RNA (301 nucleotides) under uncultured bacterium. RNAcentral describes it as "partial 16S ribosomal RNA". It matches the Rfam family "Bacterial small subunit ribosomal RNA", at positions 509 to 807 of the family's 1533-position model. The record is from RNAcentral.
CAGUAGCCGCGGUAAUACGAGGGGGGCAAGCGUUGUUCGGAAUUAUUGGGCGUAAAGGGUGCGUAGGCGGCCCCGCAAGUCUCAUGUGAAAUCUUCAGGCUCAACUUGAAGUCUGCAUGGGAAACUGCGGGGCUGGAGUAUGGGAGAGGUGAGUGGAAUUCCUGGUGUAGCGGUGAAAUGCGUAGAUAUCAGGAGGAACACCUGUGGCGAAAGCGGCUCACUGGACCAUAACUGACGCUGAGGCACGAAAGCUAGGGGAGCAAACAGGAUUAGAUACCCGGGUAGUCCCUGUCUCUUCUAC